Molecule: ribosomal RNA, 550 nt
Filed under: Colletotrichum gloeosporioides
Lineage: Eukaryota; Fungi; Ascomycota; Sordariomycetes; Glomerellales; Glomerellaceae
Description: eukaryotic LSU rRNA
Rfam family: 5.8S ribosomal RNA (bases 195-348)
Source: RNAcentral
UGAACCUGCGGAGGGAUCAUUACUGAGUUUACGCUCUACAACCCUUUGUGAACAUACCUAUAACUGUUGCUUCGGCGGGUAGGGUCUCCGUGACCCUCCCGGCCUCCCGCCCCCGGGCGGGUCGGCGCCCGCCGGAGGAUAACCAAACUCUGAUUUAACGACGUUUCUUCUGAGUGGUACAAGCAAAUAAUCAAAACUUUUAACAACGGAUCUCUUGGUUCUGGCAUCGAUGAAGAACGCAGCGAAAUGCGAUAAGUAAUGUGAAUUGCAGAAUUCAGUGAAUCAUCGAAUCUUUGAACGCACAUUGCGCCCGCCAGCAUUCUGGCGGGCAUGCCUGUUCGAGCGUCAUUUCAACCCUCAAGCUCUGCUUGGUGUUGGGGCCCUACAGCUGAUGUAGGCCCUCAAAGGUAGUGGCGGACCCUCCCGGAGCCUCCUUUGCGUAGUAACUUUACGUCUCGCACUGGGAUCCGGAGGGACUCUUGCCGUAAAACCCCCAAUUUUCCAAAGGUUGACCUCGGAUCAGGUAGGAAUACCCGCUGAACUUUAGCAU